Long non-coding RNA from Pogoniulus pusillus (Red-fronted tinkerbird), 603 nucleotides. RefSeq lists it as uncharacterized. The transcript is spliced from 5 exons. Lineage: Eukaryota; Metazoa; Chordata; Aves; Piciformes; Lybiidae. The record is from RefSeq and is a predicted model, not a curated record.
AAACAGGAUAUUAUCAAGCAUAAAGUUCUGUAUGAGAGCCAUCACAUCAUUCUCUCUUUCCUUUCAGGAAGAAGGAUUUGUGAGAUUACAGUCAGCUGCACUAUUGAAGUUAUUAAACAACAGAACAAAACAGUGUUGCCAUCCUGCAGAACUCAGAUCUGACAGAUGAAAGCAGGUUUCCUUCGCAAACACGCGGUCUGAUGAGACUUGUCUGUCAGCUCCUGAGCUGAGCUGGUUUUGCCUAUAGUCUUUGGCAGCUGCUUUGCUGAUCCCACCUGGCUCCAGACUUCUUCAGUAACAAGAACCUGGUUGGACAUCUGUCAAUCAUUAUGGGAAUAUGGUAAAGGUGUUUAGCUCAGAAACCAGCAAAGGAUGAGUGUGAAUUUGACAAGACUGUUAAAGACUUCUAAUAGAGAUCUUCACAUUAAACUGCAUCAACUCAGUGCUGAACUUGAAGCUGCAAAAGUCAGAAGAAAACUGCCAGAAGAGGAACAGUGAAAAGGAUAUCAAACCAGAAAAAGAAACUGACAGAAGUAAAUUCCAAAUGGAAGAACACAGCUGUUAUUCCAGGACAGCCCUAAAAUACAUGGUUUUAAUAAUAUG